This is a long non-coding RNA of Sorghum bicolor (sorghum), 3087 nucleotides long. RefSeq lists it as uncharacterized. The transcript has 3 exons. Lineage: Eukaryota; Viridiplantae; Streptophyta; Magnoliopsida; Poales; Poaceae. The record is from RefSeq and is a predicted model, not a curated record.
CCCGUCUCUCCUCCCGACGCGACAGCGACAGGCGACGGCGCCACCCGCGGGCGGGCUUCCCCUCUCUCUGUCCCUCUCCUCCGGCGUUGCGGCGUGCUAGGUGGCCAAGGACCGUGGCCUCCUCUUCACGCGAUGCCGGGGUGUUGGCGCCCUCCACGGGCGCUCGACGAAACCCUAGGUACCUGUUCCUCACCGUCGGCGGUGGCGGCGAAGCUCACCGGCUUCAUCCCAUCGGGAGACAGAAUGUCCAAAUGAUUUGGCUAUCCAGUCCCUUUUAUCAGCAGUGGAUUCAUUUGGUGCUGAUUACAAGCUUCUUGGGAUACAGGCUUCCAGGGAGCCAACGACAUGAUAUAAGAAACUUUUCAUGCUUCCAUUGGCCCAAUUCUACAAUGGCAUUGUCAGGUUUUAUGUGUCUCACAAAACUCAUUCGCUUUCCUGCACUCAAAUCACAGUUUAGUGUACUUAGAGCAACUGUGUUUUUACUUUCCAGUCACCCUUUCACAACUGGACUUAACAGAUGGAAACAUGCGGAUAAAGUAAUUUAGUUGGAGCUAUUGGAAUUUACGGCUCAUAGUACUUGUUCUCUUUGCGUUUCCUUGCAUCUAAUUUUCAUGGAUUUGCCAUGUUUAAUUUAAUUCUAGGAGCAAAGGAAGAGAUUACACAGGAUGGCCAUGCGGUUCUGCAUUGGUUUUGUGUCAGGGAGGACUAAAUGGUCCGUGGACAAUUUGUUCAGAUCUUUGAUAUCGUCCUCAUCUUCUUUGCAAUUCCAGUUUGAUCCCCCUAAGGCUGGGGUUCCAAUGCAUCACAUAUUUGACCAUAAAUGUAGCAGAUAUAGAAUGGGUGGUUAGUACCUACUAUAAAAUUUAUCACUACCGGUUUCUGAAAGAUAUAUUUAUGUACUCCUAUUGAUCGUUUAGUACUCUAGCCAAAUUCCUUUUGACUUUUCAUGCUCAUAGGUCAUCCAACUUUGUAUUUAUUUUUGGCGCUCCAUCUUCCUGUCUAUUAAUUGAUAUCGGUUUGUUGCCAACCCUUCUCUGGCACUAAUCGGUCUAAGAGUUUUUCCAACCAUAUCGAAGACAUCUAUAUGUUUCUAUCCUCACUUCAUCAUCAUAAAUGAAUUAUAUAGGUGUCGUAAGAGUUCUUGCAAGUCGAAGCUUUUGAAAACCUCAGUAAUGCUAUUAGAAUCUUGGUCAUCUCCACAGAAUAUUCAGCCUCAAGCAUUUUGCCUGUGUUUUUAAUAAUAUUCCUGUCCUUGCACAAAAAACUUACUUUGACUGAUCUUCAGGUAAGCUACCUGUGCACUAAAGUUUCUUUAUUUUCUGCUCUCAUACUUGCCUUUCCUCUCUAUACCUAUCAUACCGUCAUCCACUUCCUAAAGCAAACCUUGUGGUGUUUAACUAUAGACUAACAAGAUAUGCAAUUAACCACUCUCUUUCACAGUUCAAAAUUGUGUUACACGCACUGCUCCAUGUGUAAAAGGAGACCAGCUAAGCACUCUCUUCGAGAAUUAAAAAAUGGGUUCCAAGACCUGAUGCUUGUGUUCAAGGAAACCAGCUACACGAAGGCUCACAUACCUUCUUAGGAUGCUGUGUCUGAAGGUAUGUUUUUGGGCAUGCUUGACCUUUUUGAUAGAAUUGAAACCACGACAGCUGCAGAUGGUGUCCUUAAAUAUGAAUUUUGGAAAGUACUUAAUCCAUCCCAAAUUAUAGGACGUUUGACUUUUUUGAUACCAAGUUUGACCAUUUGUCUUACUCAAAAAUUUGUACAAAAUAUCACUUCUUUUGUCGUGGCUUGGUGGUUUAUUAAUAAAAGUUGUACAUGUAUUACAAACUUGGGAUAAAAAAAGUCAAAUGUCUUAUAAUUUGGGAUGGAGGGAGUAUAUGUUACUCCUUUUUAUUGUGAACUUCUUCUAAUUGGUCCACUGGAGUUGUGGAUCGAUCUUUUGAAUUAUUUACCACCCACUUCAUAACAAUCAAAGCAAUACUACUGUCGGUAAAUAGUUCUGUCUUCCUCAAACUGCAUGACUGAUAUUCAUUUUAUGCACUUCAUUAUGUUGGUUGUCCUAACCCGACUGUAGGUGGUGAGCUUCUGAACUAAACUUUCAGCCUAUACGGACAUCUCUAUGUUGAAAUACCUGUACAAAAGUGUUGUAGAUCUGUCCGUUUUUUUUUUGCAAACAUCUGUCCAGUAUUCUAACAGAUAUGAAGAGUAUCCUGUUUUAUGUACUAUGCAAAUCAAUUUAUAGGCCAGCCAAUGCUCAUUACUUAUGUUGUCUUUAGUAUCCAGUUCCAUUGUGAAACCUUUUUGUGCCAAUAUUUUAGUGCCAAACUUAGCACCCAAUUGGUUAACUCAAGAGUGUAUUGUGUAAAUUUUAACCAUAUACGACAAAGGAUUUCAAAUUUGUAGUGGAAAAUGCUUAUAUAAUUUUCUGGAACAGAUACUACUACAUCGAUUAUAUUCACUAAAAAAGUUGUUUCUUCGGGGCAUCAGCUGAGAAGACCACAUAGGGUGCUAUGUGGAAGCCAGCUGGGAAGCCAGAACAUACAACUCUCAUGGGAGGUCAUAUUCCCUUUGUUGAAUUUUUGUUUCAGCCUCAACAAGAGCCGGACCAAUUUAGUGGUGGCUAUUAUGGGUAUCCCCAAGGAUACUAUCCAUAUGGUUGCUUGCCCCCUCAAAAUCCUGCCAUAUACACCUACACAACAAUAUCCAAGGUAUCAAAGUUACCAACAGCAGCCAGCAUUGCAGCCUCCACCAUAACAGUAGGAGUAAAGAUGACCCGAGAGGAUCUUUUGCAAACUGCCCCCAAUGUUGUUGGGGCAGCAUCUUUGGUGCAUCAGCACGACAAUCUCCUUACUUUUGCACUGUUAUAUGUAUGUUCCAUAGAAUGUGUUCAGUUAUGUCCAGGGAAACAAUGCUACCUAUGAUUCCGUCUAUUGUACAACAACACCAUGCCCAAAGCCACAUUUACAUGUACAAAUCAUGUGGCAUCGCACGUAUUGUAUGCCUAUGCUUCAUUACUCCCUAACACCAUAUGUAAUAUAUUCUUAUUUGUUGUAAGACCAAUUACAGCCACUUACUUUUAAUUAA